CCUGAAACCCUUGAUCUGGUUCCUUCAUGACAGAUGUGCCCUCUAAUGAACCAUUAAUAAAAGAAUCUUUUUCUGAUGAACAACUCAUGUCCAUGACCAUAGAACUAUGGUACAUUGAUAUUGUCAAUUACUUAGCCACAGAUAUAUAGGAUUUUCUCCCAUUAGACCACUCAGGACAAACACAAAUUUUAUACCCAAGUAAAGUAUUUUAUUUGAAAUGAUCCAUAUCUAUUUAAAUAAUAUCCUGACCAAAUCAUUAAAAGAUAUAUUUCGAACCCCG
RNAcentral lists this long non-coding RNA (280 nucleotides) under Elaeis guineensis (African oil palm). Its description in RNAcentral is "long non-coding RNA (EGUI_LNC062043)". The record is from RNAcentral. Lineage: Eukaryota; Viridiplantae; Streptophyta; Magnoliopsida; Arecales; Arecaceae.